AAAGGGAGACCUAAUUCGGGUAGGAGACGAAAAAAAAGUAGUCCCUACCAAGAAUCAAUCCCAAAAGGUCGGAGCGAGGCGAAAUUGGCUUUCAAACUAGGUUCUGGGUUCACACAAGACCUGAAUCAGGAACAAGGGCUAUUAGCUCAGGUGGUUAGAGCGCACCCCUGAUAAGGGUGAGGUCCCUGGUUCGAGUCCAGGAUGGCCCACCUGCACAGGUGGCAAAAACAGAGAAAAAAAGCUCCGAAUCAGCACCUUAUCUUACUUAUAUAGUAAGAGAGAAUGCUGGCUCUGAGUUCAGAGUCCAGAGGAACCUUGAAAACUGCAUAGAGCUAGGUGAAAAAGCCAAAAAAGAAGACCGUCAG
RNAcentral lists this transfer RNA (365 nucleotides) under uncultured Microcystis sp. Its description in RNAcentral is "partial 16S-23S ribosomal RNA intergenic spacer". The stretch from base 136 to 209 matches the Rfam family "tRNA". Lineage: Bacteria; Bacillati; Cyanobacteriota; Cyanophyceae; Chroococcales; Microcystaceae. The record is from RNAcentral.